Molecule: long non-coding RNA, 548 nt
Filed under: Lactuca sativa (garden lettuce)
Lineage: Eukaryota; Viridiplantae; Streptophyta; Magnoliopsida; Asterales; Asteraceae
Description: long non-coding RNA (LSAT_LNC010239)
Source: RNAcentral
UGCUGGAUCAACUCUGUCGUCUUGAGCACCACUUCGGUGCUCCUAAUGACGCGCUGACCGACCUCGCCCUAACAAAUCAGGGUCAGAUCAACUCUGUCGUCUUGAGCACCACUUCGGUGCUCCUAAUGACGCGCUGACCGACCUCGCCCUAACAAAUCAGGGUCAUGCACUUCCUCCCAUAAAGCAUCUCGAAGGGAGGGCGGUCAAUACUGUUGGAUUAAUGUCUAAGUCGAUAACUAUAAUUGGUAAGACUUGAGCCGACCCAGCAUGGUCCAUUUGGGUUGCAUGGCAUCAUGCACUUGGAUAGACUAUAAUGAGAGAAAUAAGACACUUAUGGUUAUUAAUAUACUAUAAGUUCUAGUAUAUUAAUAAUAAGAAUAAUAAGAUUAUUUAAUUAGUAUUAAUCAAGAAUUAAUCUAGGAUUAAUUAAGUGAUCAAAAGAAGACUAAUUAAAUAUAUGGGUUGAUUGUGUAAAUCAUCCAUACUUGUAUAGUGGGCUAAUGCUCCAUGGAUAAUCAAGUUGGGCUAAAACCCAUAGGAUGGUCCAU